Molecule: long non-coding RNA, 1485 nt
Organism: Drosophila miranda
Lineage: Eukaryota; Metazoa; Arthropoda; Insecta; Diptera; Drosophilidae
Exons: 2
Source: RefSeq, a predicted model, not a curated record
CUGGCCCAAUGUGCAGCGACUCGUUACGUUAUGUGCCUUGGUCUGUAGACUGCCGCCUACUUCAUACCGCACUCUCCCUCCUGCACACCCCCACCGUCAGUCACAAAGAACAAACGCAACCCGUUGGCUUUGUUACUGUUCUUGCUUCUUCCGCCAAAAGUGAGCAAACCCCAGACCCGAGGCGAAGAAAGAAAGCAGCAAGAAAUCUUUCUACUGCCGCGAGCGCAAAAGCGUGUGAUUGCUCCUGAAAACCCAAACAGGUGGGCCAAACACACAAAUGCACAUACACAGCUGUGCUCAAGCACACAUACGUCACCGGUACCGUGUCGUCUCCCUCUCUCUAUCACUCUUCUCUUUCUCUCUCUCUUCUCUUUGUGCUCGUACGUGUAUGUGCCAAGAUUAACUGUGUAUGGGUCUUCGACUUCUACAACCUCUCCAAUACCCUACCUACGUUAUAUGAAACCCCAAGCGCCCUACAUUUUUGAAAGUAACCAAAUUAUGCCUAUAUGUAUAGGUAUACCUAUAUCUGUAAUUCUUAGAUAACCUAUUCAGAUUGAAACAAAUACAAAUACUAUUUAUUUAUACUUGUAGAAGGACUAGAUAUGACUAGAUAUCAUUGUUACGAAGCCCAUCUAUAAGUCGAGUCGGCCGCAUAGGGUUCGCUUUUCCUUCAGUGGAAGUAUCUGCCAAAUGCACACCGAUAUCUUGCUGCCGGUGCUGUCGAUGAUAAGCGCAAAUAGACAAAACAAACACAAAACUUGCUAACAAUUAUAAAUGAUUAGAUCGCUUUUUGGAGCAUUCACUUUGGACGGUUCUUUAACAGUAUCUUUUUGUAUUGUACAAAUGUAUAUGUACACACAUAUGUACAUACAUAUAUCAUCCGUCGCAAGUUUACAGACGACUUUAGAUUUUAUAUACAUUUGAACUUGCAUAGACCAGUACCAGCUCAUACUCUGUCUGCGCUCUCUCGCCCACGGACGUCAGUGAUAUAAAAAGCCUAUCUAAUCUGGCAGCCGGAGCACAAGACCUUGCGAAUUGCACUAAACUGCUCACAGUGUGGUGUUACACCAAAGUUCAGAACAGACCCAAGCGGUUCCAAAGGUCGAGAAGUUGCAGGGGCAAUCGAAUAGGAGGCUAUCAAUGUCCUGAAAUACCCGUAAUAUGAUGUUUAUAAUUCACCCACAGCCAAGGGUUUGCUUUUAUUUACAGAGGCAACUUUGUAAUUUACAAAAAUGGUAACGAAUAAAUCAAAUAUGUGGAAGCAUAUAUGUAUAUGUAUAACCUACUUGAAUAUUACAUCUAUGAAGGGACAUGGGAGGGGAGGGAGUUUUAUUUGUGUUGCUAACAAAAAGCUUGGCCAAAUAUUUCAACAUACACUUCAUUUUCUGAAGACUUGACUUCUACAAUAAAUUUUGCUGGCUGGUUCUCAGCUAGUCAAUAGCGUGCUCCUGCAGGUGCGAGAGAUGAAACAAUCUACGUAAAAAG